This 426-nucleotide ribosomal RNA is filed under the name uncultured bacterium. RNAcentral describes it as "bacterial SSU rRNA". It matches the Rfam family "Bacterial small subunit ribosomal RNA", at positions 917 to 1341 of the family's 1533-position model. The record is from RNAcentral.
GGGCUCACACAAGUGGUGGAACAUGUGGUUUAAUUCGAAGAUACGCGCAGAACCUUACCAACACUUGACAUGUUCGUCGCGACUUUAAGAGAUUAAAGUUUUCGGUUCGGCCGGACGAAACACAGGUGCUGCAUGGCUGUCGUCAGCUCGUGUCGUGAGAUGUUGGGUUAAGUCCCGCAACGAGCGCAACCCUCACUUUUAGUUGCCAUCAUUAAGUUGGGCACUCUGAAAGAACUGCCAGUGAUAAGCUGGAGGAAGGUGGGGAUGACGUCAAGUCCUCAUGGCCCUUACGUGUUGGGCUACACACGUGCUACAAUGGUAUCUACAACAGGAAGCAAAACUGCGAAGUUAAGCAAAUCCCUAAAAGAUACCUCAGUUCGGAUUGCACUCUGCAACUCGAGUGCAUGAAGCUGGAAUUACUAGUAA